UACGUAGGGGGCAAGCGUUAUCCGGAAUUACUGGGCGUAAAGCGCACGCAGGCGGUUCGCCAAGUUUGGAGUGACAGUUGUCGGCUCAACCGACAAAGGACUUCAAAAACUGGUGAACUUGAGGACGAGAGAGGAACAUGGAACUCCAGGUGUAGUAGUGAAAUGCGUAGAUAUCUGGAAGAACACCAAUGGCGAAGGCGAUGUUCUGGCUCGUUUCUGACGCUCAGGUGCGAAAGCCAGGGGAGCGAACGGG
RNAcentral lists this ribosomal RNA (253 nucleotides) under uncultured bacterium. RNAcentral's name for it is "partial 16S ribosomal RNA". It matches the Rfam family "Bacterial small subunit ribosomal RNA", at positions 524 to 776 of the family's 1533-position model. The record is from RNAcentral.